GGGGAUUUAGCUCAGUGGUAAAGCACUUGCCUAGCAAGCACAAGGCCCUGGGUUCAGUCCCCAGCCCCG
This 69-nucleotide transfer RNA is filed under the name Rattus norvegicus (Norway rat). It matches the Rfam family "tRNA". From Rfam's summary of the family: Transfer RNA (tRNA) molecules are approximately 80 nucleotides in length. Lineage: Eukaryota; Metazoa; Chordata; Mammalia; Rodentia; Muridae. The record is from Rfam by way of RNAcentral.